This 492-nucleotide ribosomal RNA is filed under the name uncultured bacterium. RNAcentral describes it as "partial 16S ribosomal RNA". It matches the Rfam family "Bacterial small subunit ribosomal RNA", at positions 29 to 507 of the family's 1533-position model. The record is from RNAcentral.
AGUGAACGCUGGCGGUAGGCCUAACACAUGCAAGUCGAACGGCAGCACAGUAAGAGUUUGCUCUUACGGGUGGCGGGUGGCGGGCGGGUGAGGAAUACAUCGGAAUCUUCUUUUUCGUGGGGGAUAACGUAGGGAAACUUACGCUAAUACCGCAUACGACCUACGGGUGAAAGCAGGGGAGCUUCGGACCUUUCGCGAUUGUAUGAGCCGGUUUCGGAUUAGCUUGUUGGGGUGGGAACGGCCCACCAAGGCGACGCUCCGUAGCCGGACUGAGAGGAGGGGAGGCCACAGUGGAACUGAGACACGGCCCGGACUCCUACGGGAGGGAGCAGUAGGGUAUCGUGCGCAAUGGGCGAGAGCCUGACGGAGCAAUGCCGCGUGAAAGAAGAAGGUCUUCGGAUCGUAAAGCUCUGUUAUUGGGGAAAAACAAAUGUGUAAGUAAACAUGCACGUAGUGACGGUAACUAAUAAGAAAGCAACGGCUAACUACGUG